RNAcentral lists this small RNA (309 nucleotides) under Arabidopsis thaliana (thale cress). Its description in RNAcentral is "ATSL090790". Lineage: Eukaryota; Viridiplantae; Streptophyta; Magnoliopsida; Brassicales; Brassicaceae. The record is from RNAcentral.
UGUUGGUUUUGAAGUUGUUAUACCCUUUGUAGCCACUUUGGUUGUUGUUGAUGUAGCUGACUUCUUCCAACUGGUUACCCUCCCCAUCUUGGACUUGAUACUUCUCGUCAUCAACAAGGAAGUGCACAUGCUUCUACUGGCUAAGAAGAAUCAUGUCCAGCUUGUCAUUCAGCGCUUGGAUCUCCUUCCUGUGUUUGUCAUCAGAGUCAGUUGUGCUUCUGACGGUCCUAUCGCAGUCCUCGUUGUAAUUACCAUUUGAUUGAGCCAGGUUCUCAACCAAUUCCCAGCCUUCUUCAACAUCUUUGUUAU